This 252-nucleotide long non-coding RNA is filed under the name Brassica napus (rape). RNAcentral describes it as "long non-coding RNA (BNAP_LNC005240)". The record is from RNAcentral. Lineage: Eukaryota; Viridiplantae; Streptophyta; Magnoliopsida; Brassicales; Brassicaceae.
UUUAAAACUGAAUAACCGAAUUUACUCAUGUUUUGGUUAUAAAAUAGGUAAAAAUUAGGUACUUUUAAACCGAAAAACCGAUUGGGACCCGAACCCGAAAGUAUAUUGGGUUGUACCGGUUCUUUGAAAAUUUACUAACCCCGACCCAAACCCGAUAGAACCCGAACCGGUCCCGAACCGAACUUUCAUAUAAUCCGAAUGGGGCUGAUUUUGAUAAACCCGAAAAACCGAAACCCGAUUGGAUAAAACCGA